Long non-coding RNA from Cydia fagiglandana, 320 nucleotides. RefSeq lists it as uncharacterized. The transcript is spliced from 2 exons. NCBI's taxonomy places the organism in Eukaryota, Metazoa, Arthropoda, Insecta, Lepidoptera, Tortricidae. The record is from RefSeq and is a predicted model, not a curated record.
AUAGCGGUUUACGAUUUAUGACGUAUUAAAAAAAACUACUUACUAGAUCUCAUUCAAACCAAUUUUCGGUGGAAGUUUGCAUGGUAAUGUACAUCAUAUAUUUUUUUUUAGUUUUAUCAUUCUCUUAUUUUAGAAGUUACAGGGGGGGGACGCACAUUUUACCACGUUGGAAGUGUCUCUCGCGCAAACUAUUCAGUAUAGAAAAAAAUGAUAUUAGAAACCUCAAUAUCACUUUUGAAGACCUAUCUAUAGCCCACACGUAUGGGUUUGACGAAAAAAAAAUUUUUGAGUUUCAGUUCUAAGUAUGGUGACCCCCAAAA